Molecule: ribosomal RNA, 399 nt
Filed under: Ceraia mytra
Lineage: Eukaryota; Metazoa; Arthropoda; Insecta; Orthoptera; Tettigoniidae
Description: partial 12S ribosomal RNA
Source: RNAcentral
UAUUAUUUCGAUCGUAAAUUAUGGAGACUUGAGUAGUAUUAGUUAAGUUCUUGAAACUCAAAGAAUUUGGCGGUGUUUUAGUCUUUUCAGAGGAAUCUGUCCUGUAAUCGAUAAUACACGUUAGAAGUAACUUAAUUUUGUAAAAUCAGUUUGUAUACCUCCGUCAUAAGAAUAUCUUUUUAGAGUUUUAUAUUCUGGAUGUUAAAUUAAAGAGUAUGUCAGGUCAAGGUGCAGCUUAUGAUUAAGAAGAGAUGGAUUACAAUAAAAUUAUUUACUACGGAUGAAUGAUGAAAUUUUGACAUGAAGGUGGAUUUGGAAGUAAUAUUGUUAAAUAAUGAUGAUAUGAUAAAAGCGCUGAAGCAUGCACACAUCGCCCGUCACUCUCAUUAUUAAGGUGAG